CGAUGUGAUCAUACCAGCACUAAAGCAACAGAUCCCAUCAGAACUCCGAAGUUAAGCAUGCUUGGGCGAGAGUAGUACUAGGAUGGGUGACCUCCUGGGAAGUCCUCGUGUUGCAUUCC
Molecule: ribosomal RNA, 119 nt
Filed under: Triticum aestivum (bread wheat)
Lineage: Eukaryota; Viridiplantae; Streptophyta; Magnoliopsida; Poales; Poaceae
Source: RNAcentral